Molecule: ribosomal RNA, 478 nt
Filed under: uncultured bacterium
Lineage: Bacteria
Description: partial 16S ribosomal RNA
Rfam family: Bacterial small subunit ribosomal RNA
Source: RNAcentral
GACGAACGCUGGCGGCGUGCUUAACACAUGCAAGUCGAACGGUAAGGCCCUUCGGGGUACACGAGUGGCGAACGGGUGAGUAACACGUGGGUGAUCUGCCCUGCACUUCGGGAUAAGCCUGGGAAACUGGGUCUAAUACCGGAUAGGACCCUGGGAUGCAUGUCCUGGGGUGGAAAGCUUUUGCGGUGUGGGAUGGGCCCGCGGCCUGUCAGCUUGUUGGUUGGGUGAUGGCCUACCAAGGCGACGACGGGUAGCCGGCCUGAAAGGGUGACCGGCCACACUGGAACGGAGGUACGGCCAAGGGUCCUGCGGGGGGCAGCAGUGGGGAAUAGUUCACAAUGGGCGCAAGCCGGAUGCAGCGACGCCGCGUCAGACAUGACGGGCUUCGGGUUGUAAACCUCUUGCAGCACCGACGAAGCGUAAGUGGCGGUAGGUGCAGAAGAAGGACCGGCCAACUGCGAGCCAGCCGCCGCGGUAA